UUGCAGCCUCUGUCUCUACACUCACAGCCACUUCCAUAGCCGUUUCGGGACACUCUCGAUAGGUUUGCAUAUUGCUCACACCAAGCCACUCCUCAACCAUUUUCUGCUGCUGCUGUUGAUGCCCUAGGUGCUCUCAGAUGCUCAUGGUCUCUCUCUGACCAGUGCUAAGAUACGCUCAUCUCCAUAAGCCAUCAAGCCUCUUUUAUAGAGCCAAAACCUAUUCU
This 224-nucleotide long non-coding RNA is filed under the name Elaeis guineensis (African oil palm). RNAcentral's name for it is "long non-coding RNA (EGUI_LNC045986)". The record is from RNAcentral. Lineage: Eukaryota; Viridiplantae; Streptophyta; Magnoliopsida; Arecales; Arecaceae.